RNAcentral lists this transfer RNA (68 nucleotides) under Flavobacterium sp. Its description in RNAcentral is "tRNA-Asn". The stretch from base 4 to 61 matches the Rfam family "tRNA", at positions 9 to 63 of the family's 71-position model. Rfam says of the family: Transfer RNA (tRNA) molecules are approximately 80 nucleotides in length. Their secondary structure includes four short double-helical elements and three loops (D, anti-codon, and T loops). The record is from RNAcentral. Lineage: Bacteria; Pseudomonadati; Bacteroidota; Flavobacteriia; Flavobacteriales; Flavobacteriaceae.
UUGGGCUCAGUUGGUUAGAGCAUCUGACUGUUAAUCAGAGGGUCCCUGGUUCGAGCCCAGGAGAGGGA